This 458-nucleotide ribosomal RNA is filed under the name Weissella confusa. RNAcentral describes it as "bacterial SSU rRNA". It matches the Rfam family "Bacterial small subunit ribosomal RNA", at positions 338 to 795 of the family's 1533-position model. Lineage: Bacteria; Bacillati; Bacillota; Bacilli; Lactobacillales; Lactobacillaceae. The record is from RNAcentral.
CCUACGGGAGGCAGCAGUCGAGAAUCUUCGGCAAUGGGCGAAAGCCUGACCGAGCGAUGCCGCGUGCGGGAUGAAGGCCCUCGGGUUGUAAACCGCUGUCGUAGAGGAGAAAGGUCUGAUGAAGAAUCAGAUUUGAUCUAUUCUAGGAGGAAGUCGGGGCUAAGUUCGUGCCAGCAGCCGCGGUAACACGAACCCGACAAACGUUAUUCGGAAUUAUUGGGCUUAAAGGGUGCGUAGGCGGUGCGGUAAGUGCGGUGUGAAAGCCCUCGGCUCAACCGAGGAAUUGCGCUGCAUACUGCCGUGCUGGAGGGAGACAGAGGUAAGCGGAACUGAUGGUGGAGCGGUGAAAUGCGUUGAUAUCAUCAGGAACACCGGUGGCGAAAGCGGCUUACUGGGUCUUCUCUGACGCUGAGGCACGAAAGCUAGGGUAGCGAACGGGAUUAGAUACCCUGGUAGUC